GUAGGUGGCAAGCGUUGUCCGGAAUUAUUGGGCGUAAAGCGCGCGCAGGCGGUUCUUUAAGUCUGAUGUGAAAGCCCACGGCUCAACCGUGGAGGGUCAUUGGAAACUGGAGAACUUGAGUACAGAAGAGGAAAGCGGAAUUCCACGUGUAGCGGUGAAAUGCGUAGAGAUGUGGAGGAACACCAGUGGCGAAGGCGGCUUUCUGGUCUGUAACUGACGCUGAGGCGCGAAAGCGUGGGGAGCAAACAGGGAUUAGAUACCCUGGUAGUCACGCCGUAAACGAUGAGUGCUAAGUGUUAGGGGGUUUCCGCCCCCUUAGUGCUGCAGCUAACGCAUUAAGCACUCCGCCUGGGGAGUACGGCCGCAAGGCUG
RNAcentral lists this ribosomal RNA (372 nucleotides) under uncultured organism. RNAcentral describes it as "partial 16S ribosomal RNA". It matches the Rfam family "Bacterial small subunit ribosomal RNA", at positions 527 to 896 of the family's 1533-position model. The record is from RNAcentral.